This 251-nucleotide ribosomal RNA is filed under the name uncultured bacterium. Its description in RNAcentral is "partial 16S ribosomal RNA". It matches the Rfam family "Bacterial small subunit ribosomal RNA", at positions 524 to 774 of the family's 1533-position model. The record is from RNAcentral.
UACGUAGGGAGCGAGCGUUGUCCGGAAUUACUGGGUGUAAAGGGUGCGUAGGCGGGAGCGCAAGUCAGACGUGAAACCUACCGGCUUAACUGGUAGCCUGCGUUUGAAACUGCGAUUCUUGAGUGAAGUAGAGGUAAGCGGAAUUCCCGGUGUAGCGGUGAAAUGCGUAGAGAUCGGGAGGAACACCAGUGGCGAAGGCGGCUUACUGGGCUUUAACUGACGCUGAGGCACGAAAGCAUGGGUAGCAAACA